Molecule: ribosomal RNA, 889 nt
Filed under: uncultured bacterium
Lineage: Bacteria
Description: bacterial SSU rRNA
Rfam family: Bacterial small subunit ribosomal RNA
Source: RNAcentral
UUUGAUCCUGGCUCAGGACGAACGCUGGCGGCGUGCUUAACACAUGCAAGUCGAACGGUAAGGCCCUUUCGGGGGUACACGAGUGGCGAACGGGUGAGUAACACGUGAGUAACCUGCCCUUGACUCUGGGAUAACAUCUGGAAACAGUUGCUAAUACUGGAUAUGAGCUGCCCUGGCAUCGGGGUGGUUGGAAAGUUUUUCGGUCAAGGAUGGACUCGCGGCCUAUCAGCUUGUUGGUGAGGUAGUGGCUCACCAAGGCUUCGACGGGUAGCCGGCCUGAGAGGGCGACCGGCCACAUUGGGACUGAGAUACGGCCCAAACUCCUACGGGAGGCAGCAGUGGGGAAUAUUGCACAAUGGGCGGAAGCCUGAUGCAGCAACGCCGCGUGCGGGAUGACGGCCUUCGGGUUGUAAACCGCUUUCAUCCAUGACGAAGCUUUUGUGACGGUAGUGGAAGAAGAAGCACCGGCUAACUACGUGCCAGCAGCCGCGGUGAUACGUAGGGUGCGAGCGUUGUCCGGAUUUAUUGGGCGUAAAGAGCUUGUAGGCGGUUUGUUGCGUCGGGAGUGAAAACUCAGGGCUUAACCCUGAGCCUGCUUCCGAUACGGGCAGACUUGAGGAAGGUAGGGGAGAUUGGAAUUCCUGGUGAAGCGGUGGAAUGCGUAGAUAUCAGGAGGAACACCAGUGGCGAAGGCGGAUCUCUGGACCUUUCCUGACGCUGAGAAGCGAAAGCGUGGGGAGCAAACAGGCUUAGAUACCCUGGUAGUCCACGCCCUAAACGAUGUCAACUAGGUGUUGGGAGGGUAAAACCUUUUAGUACCGUAGCUAACGCGAGAAGUUGACCGCCUGGGGAGUACGGCCGCAAGGUUAAAACUCAAAGGAAUUGACGG